This 43-nucleotide transfer RNA is filed under the name Lachancea thermotolerans. RNAcentral's name for it is "partial transfer RNA". The record is from RNAcentral. Lineage: Eukaryota; Fungi; Ascomycota; Saccharomycetes; Saccharomycetales; Saccharomycetaceae.
UCAGGUAUCGUAAGAUGCAAGAGUUCGAAUUUUUUAGCAACCA